This is a non-coding RNA of Hypoxylon fuscum, 102 nucleotides long. The record is from the annotation of a GenBank genome assembly. Lineage: Eukaryota; Fungi; Ascomycota; Sordariomycetes; Xylariales; Hypoxylaceae.
GCGGGGAUAGCUCAGUUGGGAGAGCGUCAGACUGAAGUCUAACUUCAGGAAUACAUGUGUGUUGAAAUCUGAAGGUCGUGCGUUCAAUCCGCACUCACCGCA